This 253-nucleotide ribosomal RNA is filed under the name uncultured bacterium. Its description in RNAcentral is "partial 16S ribosomal RNA". It matches the Rfam family "Bacterial small subunit ribosomal RNA", at positions 524 to 776 of the family's 1533-position model. The record is from RNAcentral.
UACGUAGGGGGCAAGCGUUGUCCGGAAUCAUUGGGCGUAAAGCGCGUGUAGGCGGCUCGAUAAGUCUGCUGUGAAAGUCCAGGGCUCAACCCCGGGAUGCCGGUGGAUACUGUCGAGCUCGAGUCCGGAAGAGGCGAGUGGAAUUCCUGGUGUAGCGGUGAAAUGCGCAGAUAUCAGGAGGAACACCAAUGGCGAAGGCAGCUCGCUGGGACGUGACUGACGCUGAGACGCGAAAGCGUGGGGAGCAAACAGG